This 40524-nucleotide long non-coding RNA is filed under the name Ananas comosus (pineapple). RNAcentral describes it as "long non-coding RNA (ACOM_LNC025577)". Lineage: Eukaryota; Viridiplantae; Streptophyta; Magnoliopsida; Poales; Bromeliaceae. The record is from RNAcentral.
UGCCGGAAACUUGCUGGCACGGUACGGCAUGACGCGUGCCAAGCCGUACCGAUGCGUGCCGGUCAAAAAAAUUCUUGUGUACCGACACAUAAUAGCAUGAAAUAUUUAUUUUCUUUAGCAACAAAAUAUUCUAAUUAUUUAUUAUGUCUUUUUAUCACAUCUUUUGAACUUUAUUGAGAAAAUUACUUACUAAUUUAAAGAAUAGAGGGUUUUGAGCUGUGCCAUCGGUACGGGGUCUGUAUCGUACCGGUAUCUUGUUGGCACGAUACGGCACGGUAGAUACGGCCUAUGCCGACGGGCACUUAAAAUCUUGCUGUCAACAAUACGAGUUACAAAUAUACAGUAUAACAAUGUUGACCACUAACAACUAUUCUCAAUAUGAUCCUUCAUAGAUGCUAAUAUUCUCUAUAUAAAUCUGUUUAGGUUGUAAUUAUCAGCUAAAAGCGACAGUAAGCUUCAGGAACUAAAUGCUUAACUCUCAAAAGGUGUUUGAAGUUUACAAACAAGAGAUAUAAAUGUUUACAAACUUGCUUAUGCCGCUGCAUUUUGUUGACAGGUAUUUGUAACUCACAAGGCAAGGAAAAAAAUACAGCCGUUCAAAACGCUGAAUUUGCAGAUGCUCGGAGAACUAGUUUCAAGCAAACAUUACUCAAAGAACUAAAAAUCCUCCUAUGCGAAGUUUCUAUGCUCGGUGGAAUUGUGUAAUCCUAACUUUCUUAAGAAAAGCAAAUAUGAAAUUUCUAUAAUCAAACGAAAUGGAAUAACUUACAAAAAAUAGUGCAUUACAAUUAUGCAUUAACCCAAAAAUUACAAAGUGAUGCAGUUCUCAAACCGCUGAGCUCAGAAAUAUCUGGAAACUUACGACACUAAAGUGAUUUAAGGAUGCCAAUAUUUGACAUGAACAGUCGAUUUUAAGUAGUUCUUAAAAGGUAGACCAGAUAGAUAGAUGCGACAAAUAGAUUAAUGCCCGCAUUCUUUUUUCUUUUCUCUUCUUUUCUUUUUCUUUUUUUUUUUCUUUGGUUUUUUCGGGGCACCCACAAUCAUUGCAUACAAAACAACAGUGAAAACCAACACCAAUUAUCAUAGCAGAUAGGAAAUUAUUGAAGUAAUCAAACGGUAACUCGCUAAAAUUGAAAAGGAAAGAAUAGGCAGAACUUAUUUACCUCUAACAUGCUCAUAUUGCCGUGUAAAUUUAAUGAUCUACGAUCCUUCUCAUUGAACCCGGGCUUCUGAUGCGCCAGUGGGAUCAUUCUUUUAUGAUUCCUCGCUCUCGAUUGAUUCUUAACCUAAAGUCCAAAACCAACACUACAAUAAGAAAUUUAACAGUGAUUCAGUUAAUUUAACUGUGUUCAACACCUUUUUGCGAUGCAACUGCGAGUUUCGUUAGCUGAUUAGGAAAGAUCCACAACAAUAAAAGCGGCCUAAUUCUGCUGAAACCAAUCUAAAAUGCCAUUACAGAUAUACUCACUUCUGAGAUAGCGCAAUGUGAUACGCUAGACCUUGCGCUGCUUCCUCGUCUUCUCGCCUCCUUCAAAACCCCCUCCUCUAAAUCUCCAGCCAUUUUAUCUGAGGGGAACUUAUUCAUUUGCCACAACAAAGUCGCGAGCUUUCGAGCCGAUAUCGAAGCUCGGACCCCUUUCGCACAAUUAUAUGAUUCUCGAUUCUUGAAUGAUUCAGAACUGUUACUACCCGAAGAUAUAGGAACUGGUGCAGUGGAUCUCCCCUUCUUCCUAACAACAAUUACCCUCUUAAUGGAAUGGUUCUUCUUCAAUGAAGGAUAUGUAGAUGAUGAUGAUGAUGUUGAUGAUGAACAAGAAACCCUUUUUCGGAUCUCGCGAGGCCCAUUUACAGAUCCAUUUGUGCCCACAUUGUGCCUAAGCAUUCUCUAGAGAGAGAGAAAGAGAGAGAGAGAGAGAGAGAGAGGUUGGUGGAAUGCAAUGAGAAACCAAGAACAAUGAAGAAGAGUGCUUCUUUUAUAGGUGAAUUUGUAAGGGAAAGGAGAGAUUUUUGAGGUGGAAAUGAAAUGGGGAUUAUAUUCAAAAAAUCAGAAAAAACAUGUGGAGGAAAAGUAGCCGUUGGAAUAAUCAAACCAAAAGCUGGUAAAGAGGGGGAAAAAAAAAAAAAAAAAAAAAAANUAAAAAACAGGAGAAGAGCUAUUAAAGUAAGUGCCCAUCUUUUUUUAUUAUUAUUAUUAAAAAAAAAAAAAAAAGAAGAGGAGCUCAUGAGAGUGAGAGAUAAGAGUGAGGAACAAAAGAGAUGGGCGCAGAAACUGUUGACUCUGGGAAUUAGUGGGUUUACACCAAAAUGGCCAAAAGAUUCGAGCUUUAUGUGAAAUUUUCUCCUCAAAUUACACAACGAAUAUCAAAAACACCAUCAAAUCUUUGGGGUUGCUCCAAAAAAGAAAAGGCUAAAAUUAAAAGUUUCAGGUGAAAAUUUCUCCCGAGAAGAUCAAACCCACUACCAAAGCGAAUGAGUCUGCGAAGUGGGUUUGCUCCAAAAUGGCCAAAAAUUGAAGCUUUAUGUGAAAUUUUCUCCUCAAAUCACGCAACAAAAUCAAACCCACUACCAAAACUGCCGAGUAUGCGAAGUGAGCUUGCUCCAAAAUCGCCAAAAAUUGACGCUUUACGCAAAAUUUCUCCUCAAAUGACACAACAAAAUCAAGUGGGUUUGCUCCAAAAUCGCCAAAAAUCGAAGCUUUACGCGAAACUUCUCCUCAAACUACUCCAACAGAUCAAACCCACGUAAAUUCAAAAAAAAAAGAAAAAACACACGAAAUUAAGAAUCUUGCAACGAGAAACAGAAACAGAGUACCUAAAGAACCCAACGUAAAAAAUCCAAACUUUAACUACGGAAAGAGCUCUGCUCGCUUCAGAAACCAAUUAAUUCCCAAGCGAUGGGAUCGAAAAGCUCGAGGCUUUUCAAUUCGCUACGCAUCAAAGCCAAAGUAUCGGUGUACAACGAUAGAGAUUGAUGCUGCGGAGGCGGAGCGAGCGCACGAGUGGGGGGGGCGAUGCGGCGGAAGAGACGAGGAGAGAGGAGCUCACAAAAGCUCGUCUCCUUGUGCUUAAUCGCUUGUGUUGCCCCCACGCUUCAUAGCGAGAGGUUUUAAAUAAAUAAAUAAAUAAAUAAAUUGCAUCGAACGCAGUAAGUACACACACCCACAGGCCACAGCUCGGAUCGGAGAGCGGCGUGAGCUGUUCCUCCCCACCUAAUAAAUUAUUUCCAGCCCCCGCCGCGGAGGGUCGUGUCGCACCUUCACGAUUAUUAUUUCUUUUCUUGUUUUUUUUUUUUCUUUUUUUGGGUUACAUUCAGGUCCUGUAAAAGAUAAAUUUUUACAAGACUUAAAUAAUGAGAUUAUUUCUUUUAAUAAAAGUUUUGGUUCCUUCGCAUGUAUUAUUCUCCCUGUCUCUUGAUUCACCGCUACUUUUUUAAUAAACAUAUACUUAAAAUAAUUAUUUUGUGUCCUUAUAAAUUUAUCCCCCAUAAAAAGCUCCUUUUUUUAUUUUUAUUUUGUCGCCCCUCGCCUUUGCAGCGGCACGUGUGGCGUAUCUUAUUUUUGCCGUGCCAAGGACAUUGCCUUCGACGUUGCCGUUGCUGUAGACCUUGCCGUCGCGAUAGAUAAAAAAAAGAUGGUGAGAAAGAUAACGAGACUCGACAUUGAAAUACAAAAUUUAGGCAUAAAGGAUAAAAAGGUUAUUUUAUUUAUUAAUUAACUGACCGAUGAUUAUCUAAAUUUUGAUAACAGAAUGAUAUAUUUGCAAAUGAAAAAAUUUUUUGAGGAAUAAAUCUGAUAACUAAGUUUUAUAGGAAUAUAUUUACCAUGUGUAAUUAUCCUUUUUCUUAGUUAAGGGGCUUUUUGCUUUUUCUUUUGCCUGUUAUUCGAAAUUUUCAAAUUUAUACUAAAAUUAUCAAAAUAUUUUUUAAAUUUAAAUCUCAUUAGUAAAUUUUAGAGGAUAUUUGAAGGAAUUUUUAGAAAUCAAUAAGAAUAUUUUAGUCAAAGAGCGGUGUAUUAUUUGAAGGGUAUGUUAAAUAUUAUCCCUGUUUUUAUUAAUAGGUUUAAAAUACUAUAAUCAUAAAAAAGCAAUUUAGGUUUAAAAGUACUAUAAUUAUAAUUUUAUGUUUUGAAGGAUAUAUUAGAUAAUUUUAAAAUAUUUUUGCUUUAAAAAUGAAGUCCAAAUACAAUCUGAAAUGUUAUAUGGAUUUGCCAAUAUAUCAAGAUAUCAACAAUAAAUAUAUAUAUGAGAAUAACUGAUCACCGGCUAGUGCAAGCGUCAAAGGAUUUAAUAAUUGAUACCGGAGGUCUUAAGUUUAAAAUCUAAUUACUUCACAUUUUCAGCUAAGUUUAUGCUUUUACUUUUAGAUCUUGGAAUCACCUUGUACUCUUUAUUCUGUCCUACUUGGGGGCUUGCUAUGUAGGGCGCAACCAUGUGCAAUAUUGUUCAGCUAGCAUAUUGUCAGGGACUGAGCGAAAUUGUUGUGCUUUCUUGGCCUAUCUUCGCUAGCGGAGCGGGCUGGAAAGGAGGUUCAAAACCAGCAGUCGUUAUGGGAGACAAAGAGUCAUAUAAUUGCUAGAGUUAAUGGCUCCAAACCGUACCGCCAAAGAAAAUCCAAGUAGUGGAGUACUUAGUUUUUUGGAAACCUCUUCUUCUCUCUUCUUUCCUUUUUGCAUAUUUAAUCGUAGGGCGUGGAAGUCCAGACUAACAACAAGGAGCUAAACUUGUCCAUCUUCGAGCAGGAAGACAGGCGUCAUACGGACUUUACGAACAAAAACGCUAAGGCUAUGACAAUAUAUAUAAUAUUGCUAAAAGCACACCAAUACAGAAGCUCCAAAUUAGAGCUUUAAUAUUGGUGCAAGAAUAAUCCUGGUGAUCAAAUCAGCCCUCAUAAUGAAAAUUUUGUGAUUGCCAAGCAUCUACAUUGUAAGUAAAAACUUUAUUCCAGAGAAAGGUAACAAGCAAUUUGAUUCAUUCACUUUCCUUUAGAAAUAAAUUUUAGUUGAAAAUGUGAAUCAACUAAACUUCAAAUUUGGGACCUCGGGUACCAACCACCAAGACUUUUGCUAGUUGCUGUGGGGACGAUUAGUAUUAUAAGUAAAAGCAGAAGCAAAGAAGUAUGACAAAAUUAUGGUAAAUAUUCUCACAAUUCCUUAAACAUAAUAGAGGAUCAAUUUGUUCGAUGUGGCACAGGUCAUUAUUUAUUCAAAGCAAUCCAUAAAGAUACAGUCGAUCCAACGAUUAGAAUAUAUCUGGACACGUCCUUAAUGGACGGAUGUGAUUAAACAUCUUUACAAUAGAUUAUAUAUAUAAAACAUAACGGGAAUCCCGAUCUAACCAUAUAUAAUCCUAUUUUCCUGUAAUAGCUCCAUCUCUGGAGAUAAGAGAUGGAUAGUGAACGAGGAUGAAUUAUAAGAAAGAAUCAUCGUCUAUAAUACGCAUCUGAAAAUCGAAAUUAUCACAGAAUGUACGAUUUUAAUUGGUAUAUGAUUUAAUGCGAUCAUCUCCACUUGAAAGUAGGAAAGAAAAUAAAUACCUCUCUAGAAAACUUUGUCCAUAUGAGAUUAAUUGUAUGAACAAUUGUUUAACCAAUAUAUAUAAAUCCUAAUUAAUUCUAGGUUAAUAAUUUCCACCAUCUCAAGACAAAUACAACAGGAAUAAUGUGAAGAAGUAAAAUACUCUUUACAGAGAUUAAUUCUUUGCCAUAUUGAGACAUAAUUUUCAUGUCAAAUAUCAUGUAAACCCAUUUGGCCUCCAAAAUUGACUUGGAUAAUUAAGUAAAUUCCACUUAAGAUGUAAUCUCAACUGUAUAUAUCAAUAUGACACUAGAUUCAUGUAAAUCACUAAACCCUUUAUUUUUUUAUCAUUAUAAGUCCGGAGAGAGACAAGCAUAAAUUAGCUCAUUACUUACACAUCAUACAUAUCUAUAUAUAUAUAUAUAUAUAUAUAUAUACCAACAACGAGGACAAUAAUUCAGGAAACAUGUUGCAAAGUUGAUAAGAUAAUUGAACUAUUCAUUAAUUAUCAUGGAAAUUAAUUCAUCGACAAUAAUUUAAGGUGACACUCAAAAUACACAGUAACACUUUUUUUUUGGUCGAAUAAUACACAGUAACACUACUACUCAUAAUUUUUUAAUGAAGAACGUAAUAUUUCUCUUUGAAAUGAACAAACUAUAUACUAUUUUAUGUGAUGUCGAAAGAAGCCUAAUAAAUGCACAAAAACAAAAGAUUAAGAUGUGAUAGGGCACACUUGCACGAGACAUGCAUAACGGCGACGUGACGCAUAACGCCGUUCCUGGGGAACACACGUUCCUUUCCCAAGUGUCGUUUUGUAUAACAAAGCUUGUGGAUGCAACAAACAAUGUGUGUAAUUAGGCUAAAUAGCAUGUCACUGUCCCAACCCUGAUAUGUUUCUACGUAGAUGGAAAGAGGAGGAGGAGAAUGGUAUAAUUAUUCCUUAAAGAGUGCAUUUUUAUGUAAAAAGUAUAAUUUUUAUUUUAAAAGAUUUAGUUUACAUCUCAAAUAAUGUAGCUUAUAUUUAUAACAGUAUAACGUUUUUCUAAACGGUGCAACUUCAUUUUCUUUUUUCUUUUUCUCUAGUUGUUCUUCUUUAUUCUUUAGUUUUUUGUCUUUAGUUAAUUUUUUUAUUUUAAGCAAAUAAAAGUGCUUGAUCAGAGAUACUGCAGUGGAGGUGGAGGGCGAAGAGAAAUUGGGUGCAGAAGAAGCACAAGGAAGCGGAAGGAAAAGAGUAGGAGGAGAAGUAGUGUAACUAUCUCCCAAAGAAUACAAUUUUCGUUUAAAGAGUGCAUUUUUAUGUAAAAAGUAUAAUUUUUAUUUUAAAAGAUUCAGUUUACAUCUCAAACAAUGUAACUUAUAUUUAUAACAGUAUAACGUUCUUCUAAACAGUGCAACUUUAUUUUCUUUUUUCUUUUUCUCUAGUUGUUCUUCUUUAUUCUUUAGUUUUUAGUCUUUAGUUAAUUUUUUAAAUUUAAGCAAAUAAAAGUGCUUGAUCAGAGAUACUGCAGUGGAGGUGGAGGGCGAAGAGAAAUUGGGUGUAGAAGAAGCACAAGAAAGCGGAAGGAAAAGAGAAAGAGAAGUAGUGUAACCACCUCCCAAAGAAUAUAAUUUUUGUUUAAAAAAUAUAACUUUCAUCAUAAAAUGUGUACUUUAUAUAUCAAAGAGUACAACUUACAUCUACAACAAUGCAACAUUUUUUUUAAAACAGUGCAAUUUCAUCUUAACAUUGCAACUUUAUCUUUAUCUUCUUCUUCUCUGGUUAUUAUUUCUUAUUUUCUAGUUUUUUACCUUUAAUUAAUUUUUUUUUCUAUUUUAAGCAAACAAAAAUGCUUGACCAAGGAUACUCUUGUGUAGCCCCUCGCCCUCCUUGCCUCUGACCCCACCAAGGCCGCGCUCGUCGCCGCCCUCUGGGACGCCGCCUCCGCUUCUGCCGCCCUUUUCUCUGGCGUCGUCACGCUCUCCUCCAUCUCAACCUAGCUCGCUCACUACCGGUCCCAGGCGCAGUGGGUUGUGUGCCCCCUCCUUUACCGACGAGCUUUUCGGCGCCGAGAAGCGCUUACUUUUCGUUAUCGGCGGCAGUGGUCAAGACUGCGAGUUCCCAGAAGGGGAUAUAGUGGGUGAAAAUUUUGCUACAAUGGAGAUGGAGGGCGAAGGCGGAGGAAGAGGACGAAAUGUCGUCCUUGUUACCGUCGCAGAGGGCCGCGGAGACGGUGGAGGAGGAUUGGAGAGAAAAAAUAUAUAUAUAUAUAGUCACGACGCAGCCUCGGUGGAGUCAGAGGCGAGGAGGGUGGGGGGUGCGUGGGCGCAUGCGAGGGCGCUCAGGGCAGAGGCGAGACGGGCCGCCUCCGCUUUCGCCGCCUUCUUCGAAGAUAAUGAAAAAAAGAAUGAGAGAAAAACCAAAGGAGAGAGAGAAAGGAAUAUGAAUAUUUUGGUCAGCUUUUUGAAUUCGGACCGAAUUUGUAAAAUCCAAAAUGAUGGUUUACUUUUGCAAAAAUCUCAGAACUAAUGAAUUUUUUAUACAAAUUGGCCUAAAAUAUAUCGUGAGGGCCUCUAUCAAAGAAUAUAAAUUUUAGAUGUACUGUGUGGGAGAAACCAAUAAAAGAGCAAUAGGGGCCGGGCAAUUGAGAGGCCCUGUGUCUCUUCCAAAAUCAGAUCCGACAAAUCUAUGCACUUGUAAGUUAAAUAAUAGAGGGAGAGACUAAUUUCCUAUUUUAGCUAAUUAGGGGUGCAUGUAGGGGUGUAAUGUGGGUCGCGCCGUAGCCGGGCCGAAAUGGGCUAGGAGCCUGUCAAAAUCGGGCCGGGCCAGGCUCGAGCUGCCUAGCCUCCGACCCGGCACGGUCCUUCGGCCCUGAAGGCACGGGCCGUGUUUCGGGCCGAGCUCCUAAAAUAUUUAUAUUUUAAAAAAAUUAUUAUUAAAAAUUAAAAAUUUUGUAUAAAAUUUAAAAUUAAAAGUAUUUUCUAUUUUUAAAAUUUUUUUAAAAAAAUUUAGUAUUUAUUUUUAAAAAAUUUUAGGGCCGCGACCUGCCGGGCUAUCGGCCUCUCCUCGGCCCCGAGCCGUCGGGCCCCAAGGGAGAGGCCCAGCACGGCUCGGCAGCUCCGGCCGGGCCGACCGAGCACGGUGCUACAGUACCUAUGCCGUGAAUAGCCCGGCCCAAAGCCGUGCCAGGCCGGAUGGCCCACAUGCGGUCCGACCCGUUUUACAUCCCUAGAGCCCUGUCACCCUAACCAACCACCUCAUUUUAACUAUAAGUAGUAAGGGCAUUAUUAGUUUGGGCAUUACAACUAGGCGAGACCAAAAAAGUUACGUGAGUUUUUGGUUUUCCAGAAAGAUUUUAAAAAAUAGUUUUUUAAUUGAAAAGGUAAUUUUCGUUUAUUUGUUCCCGUUAGAUGUGACUCGAAAUCUACUAUCGAUUCAGGUUCGGAUUUACGACUCACCGACAGCUUCGCGGUGCGACUAAUUUGGAAAAGAAAAUUAUGGAGGAAAAAUGAAUGUCUGUGGUGGGUAGCGGAGGGCUCGGGCCGACAGGCCCGAGCUCGUAGCCCAUAGAGGGUACGGAUCGGAUCCGAAACCUGUAAUGAGUUUUUUUUCCUUUUUCGUUUAUCGUUUAUGCCCUAGAGGCGUGUGAUCGUGGUUGGUUGUAACCUGAAGAACAUUGUAUUCCCUUUUUCGUUCCAUAGUGAAGCACUCUCCUCCCUCGCCCGUGGUUUUUCCCUGCAAAGGGUUUUCCACGUAAAUCUGUGUCUCUUUAUUUUCUGUUUAUGGUUUGAUUGUUUUUUGUGUUCGUCAUUUCGUUUCCGUUUGUGCGUUUGUCGUAACAGUUCCAACAAAAAAAAAGUUUUAUCUGAAUUUUUCAUUUAUUCAGAAAAAGUGAAAACUACGAAAAAAGAAAUUUUUUUUUUUGAAAAACUUUUUUUCGGAAAAAUAAUUUCCCAUAAUUUCCUAAGGAACUGAAUAUGCCUUAAGCAAUACACGCUAAUUGGAUUGAGACCACUUGAUUUAUAGAGAAUUAUCUAUAUGGAUUNAUGUGUAACAGUGAAAGCCUGAAAGAGAGAGUGUGUUAUGUAAAUUUAGAGUUGGGCUCAAUUGCACGGUCGUACUUGUUGGGUUUAUUUUAUGGGCCAACAAUAAUGGCCCAAAUUAAAUUAAAGCCUAUAUAUAAUUAAAAUACAUUAUAUUUAUAAAUAUUAUAUAUAUAUUUUCGAGCUUUUCGAGCUUUUCGAGCCUAAUUCGAACGAGCCAAGUAAUACUCAAGCUCGGCUUGAAAUGAAUUUCGAGCCUUUUAUUUUGUUCAAGCUCGGCUCAUUUAAUUUCGAGUCGAGCUCGAGCGAGCCGAAUAUCGAGCCGAACACGAGUCGAACGCGAGCCGGCUCGCUCGUUUGCCAGCCCUACUUGGAAGAAUCCAGAAUGGAAAGGUUUAAUAAUACAGUGAGAAAGUCUAGUCAAUGGCAAUUUGGUACAUUCAACCUGAAAUGGAAACACAAAAUACUAUUUUUACUCGUAUUAAUCCAUAUAGAUAAUUUCCCAUAAUUUCCUAAGGAACUGAAUAUGCCUUAAGCAAUACACGCUAAUUGGAUUGAGACCACUUGAUUUAUAGAGAAUUAUCUAUAUGGAUUAAUACGAGUAAAAAUAGUAUUUUGUGUUUCCAUUUCAGGUUGAAUGUACCAAAUUGCCAUUGACUAGACUUUCUCACUGUAUUAUUAAACCUUUCCAUUCUGGAUUCUUCCAAGUAGGGCUGGCAAACGAGCGAGCCGGCUCGCGUUCGACUCGUGUUCGGCUCGAUAUUCGGCUCGCUCGAGCUCGACUCGAAAUUAAAUGAGCCGAGCUUGAACAAAAUAAAAGGCUCGAAAUUCAUUUCAAGCCGAGCUUGAGUAUUACUUGGCUCGUUCGAAUUAGGCUCGAAAAGCUCGAAAAGCUCGAAAAUAUAUAUAUAAUAUUUAUAAAUAUAAUGUAUUUUAAUUAUAUAUAGGCUUUAAUUUAAUUUGGGCCAUUAUUGUUGGCCCAUAAAAUAAACCCAACAAGUACGACCGUGCAAUUGAGCCCAACUCUAAAUUUACAUAACACACUCUCUCUUUCAGGCUUUCACUGUUACACAUAACCCUAAAAUAUGAUAACAUUCAAAUCUCUACUUUUUUUCCUCUCUCUCUCUCUCUCUCUCUCUCUCUCUCUCUCUCUCACUAGACCUAUCCAGUCAGGAAGUCACCUAGCUCACAUUUCUUAUAAUUAUUUUGUAUUUUGAACUAUUCAUGUUGCAUCAAAUUGUAGGUAAUGUUCUAUAAAAAUUAAACUAUUGAUUAUAUAAUGUCGAGAAUUUCAAUCGGCUCGUUUAGAGCUCGAGCUCGACUCGACUCGAAAUUAGGCUCGCUCGAGUUGGCUCGAAUUAAUUUCAAGCCGAGCUUGAGCCUAGAUUUAGGCUCGAAAUUAAUUUCAAGCCGAAUUUGAGCUGACAUAAGCUCGCUCGAGCUCGGCUCGUUUCCCCCCUACUUCCAAGGGUAUACGUGUCAACUGAAUCAUUUUAAGAAUUUUUGUUGUUGCAUUUUCUCAUUUUUGAUAAAUUGUAUGGCUAAUCCAUGCGCUAGUUCAUUGUCGAAUGAAUGAAGCGGUAGCGUGCUAUCUUUUUUUCAAAAAAAAAAAAAAAAAACUGUUUGGUUGAAUGUAACUAAAAAUACAAUAAAGUUGAAAAAUAUUAUAACUAUAUGCAUUGAUUUGAUAAGAUAUGAUAAAACAUACUACAAGUAUAAAUAAUUUAUUUUUUCUCUCUCUCUCUCUAUAUAUAUAUAUAUAUAUAUAUAUAUAUAUAUAUAUAUAAAAUUUAUUUGAUUAUAUACAAAUGAAAAUUAUAUUUUUAAAUUUUUAUCACUUUAUAUAUAUGAUAAUAAAAUUACCUUCAAUGUAGAAAAAAAAAUAUUUAAAAAAUCAUUAAAAAGAUAAGCUAGAAUUUUAUCAAAAUUACUCUCUCCCUGCCUCAGUAAAAAUUAAAAACGUAUUUUCAGUUGCCGCAGUUGAACUUUCUUGUACUGUUCCAAAUACUGCAGUUGAAUUCAAAAAUAUAAAACCAAACACCAAAUAGCCCCUUAGUACAUGUGUUUUUUUACUUAUACACAUCAGCUGUGAAACUUUUAUCUUUAAAAAUUUAGAGAGCACAAGAUUUUCUAAACGCGAUGACUAUUUUAAUCUUAUUUCUAUGGUAAUUUUUCCCAUUCAGCGUACUUGAAGAAGUGGUUGAAAAGGCCAUUAGAUUUUGUUCAUAGUGAUGACCAGCUGAAGCACUCCUAUUUUUUAGGAGACAAGAAAACAGACAGGGCUCAAGAAACAUAAUGGCAUCAGAAGAAUAAAACUCAACUUUUCUACUCUUUACAAGAUGUCUUAAUCAGGAUAAAUUUUAAUAACUUAGAAAUAUGAUUGAACAACAAAGCAUCGAUACUUUCGGAUCUUUGAUCUUCGCCAAUGCGUAAGUAAGCUAAUCUCACUUUAUUGAUGUCAAACCUAUGUAAAGGAAAUAUCACUUCUCACACUGCUAGAGGAUGUCUGAUCACUCCGCGCCCUUCAUCAAGAAUGAAGUUGCUGUUUCUGAAAUGCGUGCUAGUGAAGAAUGGUUUCAAAUCAUAGAUUUCGUACUCCUGAGCCUGUGACCACCAAAAAUACAAAUUAAAAUAUUUUUUAUUUUCCCUUUUUCUUGUUUUGACAUUAGAUAUGAUCCAGACGAAAGAAAGUAGCAGUGACUACUGACUAGUCCUAUUCUUACCUUAGUCCGCAACUCAUCCACUUUCACUUCGAUGUGAGUGAGGUGUCGAGUUGAUCCUGAGACAAUUUCUUCAAAAUACAAAGCAUCCUUCACGAGUAUUCGCAGUAGAUGCAGCAGCAAUUCGUUGUAAUCCUUCUUGAAGGUCAUGUAACUCCUAAAGCUCUGCAAACAGGUAGAGGUAAGAGUUAGCUCUCUCAGCGAUAAUCAUGAGUUAAUUCUCUUUUAAAUGGCAAAUGUGCUUUUAGUCCGCACCGUGCUCAGCUUUAAAACAACUCUAUUUCAAACAAUAGAAGCUUCUAGAGAUGAGACGUUUGGCUAGCAAAAUUUCUGAAAAUUUAACCAUGGCAGAAAGCUAAAAUUUCAAGGCUUCUAUUUCUGCUGGUGAGAAGCUGAAGAAAAGACUUUUUGUUCUUUAAACAACUCGGCUCAAGUAGCAUUUAUGCCGAAGCUUCAGUGAGGCCAAACAGGCGCUAUGGCCAGUAUUCAAGAAGUAUGAGUGGCAUGCUCAAACCUAUACAUGGCAUGCUCAAUAAAAUUUGAACAAGAAAUGUAUAAUGAACAAAGUCUCGGAUAAUUAAUAUGGAUACAUUAAGAGCUCCACGUGAUCUAACCAAUAGUAGUUAGCUUUCAUUAACCUUUUGAUAUUUACAGCCAAAUUACAUUCAUACCUUCUGUAGUGCUUUUUGGACUCCAAAUUUCUGGGUUGAUAUGAAGGAAUCGAGCAAUACGCGUAUCGCCAUGUCAACAUCUUCUUGCGACACAUAACCCCUCAGAUGCAUUCUUGCAUGUGCUUCUGACAUCCUAAUCAUUGAUUCCAUAUGCCUCACUGCAAUUGGAACCCCUUGGCCGUGCUGUAAAAGUCAUGGAACGAUAAGAUGAGAGUUCAGGAAACAUACUAUAUUAAAUAACCUCAAGAAAAGUAACAGAUCUCACAGAUGACUCUCGGCGAAGUUCAGCAUAAACAUGUGUGAGUUUAUCCAAGUCAGCAUCAUGUAAUCUCGGAAAGACGUUCAACUUGGCAUAUGUUAUGUACUUCUUGAGCAUGUCUUGAGAAAGUAUCUGACCAUGUAGCAGUUUGUUAGACAGAAUUUAAGACUAGCUUAAAGUUUUUUUUCAAUUAAUUAUAAAUUCAACUACUAGGUUUUGGCCCUGAUUUCAGUUAUAUCCCCAAAGUUUCAAUAUAAACAAUUUACUCUCUGAAAGUUGUUUUGCAUGACAAUUAAGUCCUAUCUUCAGUCUUACUCUACAGUCCAAUAUAAUGCCAUAUCAGCAUCAUCAUUGAAGACGAACGUCAGAAAACUGGUGGCAGCAAACUCUAACAAUGAUGUUUACUAACCUCUUUUUUCAUAUGGUAAACUGUGUAAAAGACUUGAUUGUUACAUGGGACAAACUUUGAUAACUAAAGGGAAUAAUGGACAUCGUGGUCAAACUUCAACAAUUAAAUUUGCAAUACCCUUUUUGUACAAAAAAGGUAGAUAUUCUCACACCUCUGGAUCAGCUGAUCUAGCAGAGGCCAGGAGAUCGUCUUGCAAGUCAGAGGCAGGCUUAUCUUCUAGGUUGGCCCCCUUAGGUUGAGAUCUAGCAUGGCUAUCUACAACAAAUCUUGCAAGCAUUUCAUCUGUAACUGUAUCGACAAUGUCCUGCACAUGAUUAAAAGUGAACAUUACCAACAAAUGAGAUUAAGAUUUGUCAUACGAAACUAUUUUAAGUUAACUGAAGGUGGAAUUCAACCUUAACAACGCAAAGGAUAUCGAAUCGUGAUAUGAUAGGUUCAGUCAGUUCCACAUUUUGAAGAAAAGUCUUCGAGGAGUCGUAUCUGAAGAUACAAAAUAUGUUAAAUUUUCUUCCCAGUGAUGAAUGUUUAUAUAUGAAACUUUUUACUUUUUCUGAGUAAAAUCCGUUUUAAUUAUUGGUGUUACCUUCCUCCAAUUGGAUUUGCUGCAGCAAUGACACUGCAACGAGCUUGGAGAGAUGUAACUAUUCCAGCCUUUGAUAUGCUGAUGCUCUGUUGUUCCAUGGCUUCAUGGAUACUCACCCUGAAAUUAGCAACUACCAAAUAUAGUCAGCAGGAUAAGGGUAAUCGGAAAUGAAAAAUUAUCUUUGACUACAUAUUCAUGGGGCCUUCCAUAAAUCUCCCUGCAAAACUAUCAGUUUUCAUAAAUAGUCCUGUCAAAUCUGAAUUUUCAUAUAUGCCCUUUGAGAGGGCAGUUGCUUAAAAAAUAUGCUUAGUUGAGGAGUCAUGCUGGGAAUAAGUUCAUUUCAUAUUAUAAACAAAUUCUCAAAGAUCUGAAUAUCUGCAAGUACAAUGGGCAUAUAUGUAAGCAGCCAAUUCUCUUACGAGCAAUUGCAGGAGUAUAUACAUAAAUAAAUAAUUUUGCGAGGAUAUCUAAGUUACUAUCUGAAUGUAGUUUAACCUGUCCUGAUCAUUCAUUUUGUCAAAUUCAUCGAUUAGGCAGAUCCCUCUAUCCGCCAGAACAAGUGCACCUCCUUCAAGGGUCCAUUCCCUUGUCACGGGAUCCUUAUGCACUGCAGCUGUGAGCCCAACAGCAGAAGCACCUUUCCCUGUCGUGUAGACAGCUCUAUGGCCGGUCUUCUCAACAUACCUAUGAAAAAAAAAGUAAGGGCAUUGUUGUAUGUCCCAAACAAAAGAAAAAAAAUGAACCAAUUACAAAUUUAGACCAUGAAGUUGACUCCAAAGUUCAAUAUCAUCCUUAAAAGUUAUAAUUUUCGCAAAACCGAACUGCCGGAAGGUUUGAGGCUACAAGGACAAAACUGAAAUCAAAGUCAAACUUGAUGCAAACUUCAUGCACUAACCCUGAAACAAAUCAAAGAAAAACAAGUGUAAAUACAUCUCAAAGUCUUCCAGGGCUUACUUGAGAAAUUGGGAUUUAGCAGUGCCAGGAUCACCUAAGAGGAGAACAUUUAUAUCCCCUCUUAACCGAUGUUUACCCGUAGCAUUCUUUUCUUGUCCUCCAAACAUGGCAAGCGCAAUUGCUGUCUUAAUAUCUUCAUGACCAUAGAUUGAUGAAGCAAUAGACUUAAUGAUCUGUGUGUUCAGUUACAAUCUUUUAGCUGAUGAAUAUUUCUUGAAAAUAAAUUAAAAAACUAAGCUAACAAAAACAAUCCGAAUACUUUCAUCAAAAUAACAAAGAAAACAUUAACGAACAAACCCUUUCUCCAAUUCUUGGAUCUUUUGCUAACUUCUCAAUUUCAGCCUUAUCCUCAUCAGUAAGUUUGUAAGCAGAGAAGAGAUCCUGCUUUUUUGCAACAUAAUUCGCCUCAACCACUGUGGCAAAAACAGGAAACCCGUUUUUUGUGUUUAAUGAUAAGUCGAAGUUGUUGGUGUAUAUGCCUGUAACCUCCUGAAAGAGGACAAGGAAACAAAUUCUCCUUCAGAACCUCUACUUGUACUAACAAGGAAGACAAUAAUAUACUAUAGGUGAAGUAAUUACAAUUUCUUCCCCUGGGCGAGCACAGUCAAUUAGAUCAUUCAGAAGUAUAACUUCCUUAUAUCUUGGAAGCCUGCCAGCUGGCACAAUUCCAGGACUCUCCUGGAGGGUCAGUUUCUGGUAGUUCCUGUAUAUAGUCUGGAAUAUAGGGACACAGUUAGAUAACAAAAACAAAGAUGCCAUUGAUAUUCUUUAAACACAAAAUAUUCAAUUAAUACGAUGAAUAUAUCAACAGUUAGAAAGUACAAGAUGAGACAUUAGAGUACUUCAUUCCAGAUUGCUUAAGGCUAAAUACAGAAAACCCCCUCAAUAAUCAAAAACACACAGCGUAACCUCGUCGAUUACAGAAAAUGAUGCACUUUUACCCGCUACAGAAAGGGACGAAAGUGCUAACAUUUCAUAAAAGAGGGAUUACCCCUAGAUUUUCAUCAUCAAGUACGGUAAAGUGCAAACCAUGAUAUUUACAGACAGCUUUCUGUGCUCUAGUUAAUUGUUGGAUUAUCUUUACCAUUAGACAAAAUGUUUGAUGCAAAUGUAGCUUACUUGCUCGACAUUAACAGUGAACGGUCCUUUGGAUUGGCAUUCAGGACAAGAACCCACUUUUACUUCUGAAUAAGAGUUCUGGAAGAAGGGGCCAAGAACUGCCCCACAUUUACUGCAAUCGUACUUCACCUGCUGCAGCUGGGGGAAGACCCCUGAUCGCCGAGUCACAACACCUCCUAUACGAAUCAUUGUGUUCAGAUGGAUCUGCCUGAGAUACAACAAAGCAUCAGUCCAUCAGAAAGAAGGAUUACCAUGCCUUAGAAAAAAAUGAUGUUUUACCUGAUAUUUCUUAUCUGAUCAUACACUGGUAAAUUAGUGAUGCGGACGUAGAUCUUUUGAUGGAUGUUCUUGUAAUUCUUGUGGAGAUCAAAGACAACAUUUUUUGCCACUUCUUCCAUGACUUCAAGCACUGACUGAGGUGCAUCGGCCAGCCAGAUAGCAAUGUUUGGAUGAACAUAAAUAAAUUGCUUGUAAUCUAUUUCUAGACUACAUUUAUUAGCUGCACAAACAGAUCAAGCAAUAAAAUCAGCAAAAGCAACCAAGAUUCUCACGGCAUAAAGUCCAUGCUGUUAAUGACCCAUCAGAUAAAUUGCAUAAGGGUCCUCAACCUCUUAGAGUAGUUUAAGUCCUAAACCUUUUGAUUGGUACAAUUGACUCUCUAACUUUUGCAAUUUACAACACACUCACACUUUCAGUUAAAUCCUAUAUCGCAUUGGACAAGCAUAGCCAUGUAAUCAUCAUACAAAUGCCCCGAUAUGAUUUCUCAGCCUCUCAUAUGGUGAUUGAGUGGGUAUGUCCAUCCAAUCUUGCUAGGAAUUUACUGAAAAGUGUACAACCACAUUAGAAUGCAAAGUUAAGGACCCAACUGUAACAUCUGAAAGGAUAGUUGUUCCCCCAGUGUAGAUUUACCCUCUAUGGACAGUAGGUCUUCCAUCAAAACUGAAGAUAAAAAGGGGUAGAGUAAUACCUAGAACCAGCUCAUUAAUCAACCGUACAUACUCAAAUUCCCCCUGUUCAUUCUUAGGAUUCACAUAAGUAAGCAGGAAUUCCUUAAAUUUCCUGGCAAUAAAUCGGCGUACUUCGUCUCUUGUGACCCACUCUCUCAAUGUUCCUUGGACCCGAUACAUAUUCAUUUCACCUUCUUCAUCAUAUUCAUCCUGUAAAGUGAAGUGCAGCAAAACAAGCAUGAGAAAACCAACUCCACAUGAGCUGUAUCAUACUUCAACCAAAUAUAAUAAUAUUAAGUAAAAAGAAUACAUUUGCAAGGGGCAAAUAUAAAAAAAAUCACAUUUUUGGAGCAUAUUACUAAAUAGAAGAAUUUGAAAGGUGCGUAUAUUAUAUAUUAAAAGGCCCAUUGCAAGUAUCAGCACCUCGUAUGGGUCAUCAUCAGUCUGAUCAGUAAAUGGCACAUCAGAGUGUCCACGCUGAGAUCUUCCUGGCGAACUUUGCAUGGCAGCAUCAGCUUCAUCAUCACUUCUUGCACCACUUGGAGGAGGCCUGAAAUCAGCUCUAUGCCGUUUUGCCCGCCUGAAGUUCAUAUCCUCAUCUGUGUCUGCAAUUGCAACAAAGGACAACUUUUACUCGCGAUGGUAAGCAUUAACCAUAAAAUACAUGUGGUAGUGCGACAUUGUAAAUUUAAAACAGUAAAUUCUAGAAUGUUAGACAAAAAAGAGGUUUUAUUUGAUGUGCAGGUUCACAUCCCAACGCUGGUUUAAAGUUUCAGCGGUAGCACAAGAAACAAAAUAUAGAAAUUCAGCUACUUCCACAGCAGUUCAAAAAGUAGGGUUUGAAUAAUAUAGAAAUUCUUAGCUCAGUUGUUCCUCCAAUAACCAUCCACACAUACAUACACACAUCAAUAAUCCCAAAUUUCGCCAAUCAAUUCAACAAAAAGCUUAUAAUAAGAAAACAUCCGACAAUUCUCAAACUUGAGACUUUAUGUUUCAUAGAACAGUAAAUGGCCCUUCGUAGAGGGUCCAGUGAUCAGCAGCAUGAACAUCAUUUCAAACCCGAUCAUUCCUUUCCUAUUUAAAGACACUCCGAAUCUAAGCUCACAUAAAAAUAUCACCCACAAAAUUCACAAGGUAAUAAGAUAUGCACAGGAGAUAUAAGAAAGGUGACCUAUUUACCCUGAUCAUGAAGCAUGCGAGGGAGCUUCCGAUCGGUCCGCACAUCCCUAGCAUCGAGCUCAACCUCUGCGGCCCUCCGAUCGGCCAUGAUCUGAUCCAGAUCUCUCUCAUCCUCCAUCGAAUCAUCCAACCCCAUCGACUCAUACUGAUCCUGCUCGUCCAUCCGGCGGUAAUCACUAUAACCCUCAAACUCCUCCAAAUCAGAAACACGCACAGAGGAAAAGAUCAAACAAGUCACAAAUUAGGGUUAGGGUUUCCGGCAUUUGCUUACUCCAGGUAGUUGUCGUUGUAGAGAUCCUCCCCUUCCUCCUCCUCUUCGUCGGCCCCGACGCCGCCGCCGCCAGCGUCCAUGUCGUCGUCGGGGAUGACGUGGGGGUCCACGGCGGCCUCGUCGUCGUCGUCGGAGAAGUCGUCGUCGGUGGCGCGGCUCGUGUUGGGCGGGAGCCGGUCGGUGCUGAACCCGGCCGAGGUCGGGGAGCCGGGCGUCGACGGGGUGUUCUCGGGAUCAUCCUAGGGUUAUACAUGAAGGAUCAAAAUGGCGAAAGAGAAAAGGAAUCGAUCACGAGAGGGGAGAGAGCGAGGGAGAGAAAUGGGGGGCAUAGAUUUGAGGGCUUACUCACCAUUGUUGGGAUCGAUUAGGGUUUCUCUUUCUUCUUGUUCUUCUUCGUCUCCUGUUGCUUCGAGUGCUUAGCGAUCACACCUCGAGAGAACAGUGGCCUAGGAACGAGAUGGGGUCGUCUUAUUGGCGGGAUGGGAUUUUGGCGGGAAGAUUUCGCGCCACAACGGGCGCGCGUACGUGACAGCGAAGCCCUAGGAAGUCGCGUGGGUGGGCCCAUUGGCUUUAUCAAGAGUUUUUUUUUUGUUUUAGCUCCUCACACUUGUUUUUUUGGCCCAUUUACAUAAAAAAUUCAAUUAUUUUGGACUUUUACAAAACCGGUCACAUUUUUCGUUUUUACAGAUUUGUUUCGUUUUUUCAGCAAACUGACCAAAAUAUUCUUAUAACCUUUUCUCUCUCCUUUUUUUUCAGCAAACUGACCAAAAUAUUCUUAUAACCUUUUCUCUCUCCUCCACUGUCUCCGACGACGACGCCUCUCUUGCCCUCUCCCGCCCUUCUCGUCCUCUCCCUCUCCCUCCUCCUCUGUCGCCUCCGACGACAAUACAUCUUCGCCGGCCCCGACGCUGGCGCCGACACCGUGGAGGUCACUGCGGCGCUCCAUCCUCGGAGCGGGGGGUCCUCAGCGGCAUCGUCGCCGCCGCUGUGGACGUUGGCAGAGAGGGGUGACCAAAAAAAUUAUAAAAGAAGCAAGAAAAAAAAUAAAGAUGAAAAAUUAUAGUGAAAAAAUGAUGAAGAUGAAAUUGUAUCGUUAACUGAAAAAAAAUUAUAAGUUGCAUUACUUAAAAUAUAAACUGCAGCUUUAAGAUGAAAAUUACACUUUUUAAACAAAAAUUACACUCUUUGGAAGAUAUUUACACUGUUUCUCCUCUUAUUGCACUCUUUCAGAUGUAAACUGUAUCCAUUAAUAUGAAAGUUACACACUUUAAACGAAAGUUGCACUGUUUUUCCUCUUGUUGCACUAUUUCUUCUCUUGUUAUACUAUUUUUUAUCUUAAACUACAACUCUUUAAGAGAUAUUUAUACUGUUUCUCCUCUUAUUGCACUCUUUCAGAUGUAAACUGUAUCCAUUAAAAUGAAAGUUACACUCUUUAAACGAAAGUUGCUCUGUUUUUCCUCUUGUUGCACUAUUUCUCCUCUUGUUAUACUAUUUUUUAUCUUAAACUGCAACUCUUUAAGAGAUAUUUAUACUGUUUGUCCUCUUGUUGCACUGUUUCUCCUCUUAUUGUACUAUUUCUCCUCUUAUUACACUAUUUUUAUCUUAAACUGCACCCUUUAAGAGGAGAAACAGCGUAACAAGAGGAAAAGUAGUGCAACAAGAGGAAUAACAGUGCAACAAGAGGACAAACAGUGCAACAAGAGGAGAAACAGUAUAAAUAUCUCUUAAAUGGGUGCAGUUUAAAAUAAAAAAUAGUGUAGCAAGAAAAAAAAUUAUGCAACAAGAGGAGAAAUAGUGCAACUUUUAUUUAAAUAGUGUAAUUUUCAUCUUAGUGGUGCAGUUUACAUCUGAAAGAGUGCAAUAAGAGGAGAAACAGUGUAAAUAUCUCCCAAAGAGUGUAAUUUUUGUUUAAAGAGUGUAAUUUUCAUCUUAAAGCUGCAGUUUACAUCUUAAGUAGUACAACUUAUAAUUUUUUUGCAGUUAACGAUACAACUUCAUCUUCAUCCUUCUUUUUCUAUAAUUUUUUAUCUUUAUUUUUUUUUCUUGCUUCUUUUAUAAUUUUUUUUGAUCACCCCUCUCCACGGCGCCGGCAACGAUGCCGCUAAGGACCCCCCGCUCCGAGGCUGCAGCACCACAGUGACCUCCACGGUGUCGGCGCCGGCGAAGAUGCAUCGUCGUCGGAAGUGGCAGAGGAAGAGGGAGAGAAGGGCGGAGAGAAGGGCGGAGAAGGGCAAGAGAGGCGUUGUCGUCGGAGACAGUGGAGGAGAGUCGAAGAGGAAAAAAAAACAAAGAGUCGCGGAGCGGCCUCGGUAGGGUCGGAGGCGAGGAAGGUGCCGGGGUGUGCAGGCAAGGGUAAGGAUGCGUCGGCAUAUUGUCGGCGCCGGCGAAGAUAUGUCAUCGUCGAAGGUGGCAGAGGAGGAAGGAGAGGGAGAGGACGAGAAGGGCGGGGACGGCGAGAGAGGCGUCGUCGUCAAAAACGGUGGAGGAGAGUCGAGAAAGAAAAAAAAANGAAAAGAAAAAAAAAAAAAAAAAGUCGCGGUGUGGCCUCGGCAGGGUCGGAGGCGAGGAAAGUGCAGGGGUGUGCGGGCGAGGGUAAGGAUGCGCCGGACAAGCCGCCUCCUCCGCCUCCGCCGCUCUCUGGGAAGAGAAAAAAAAAAAAAGAACGAGAGAAAAAAAAAAAGAGGGGAGAGAAAAAGGUAUAAGGGUAUUUUGGUCAAUUUGCUGAAAAAGCGGACCGAAUCUGCAAAAACGAAAAAGGUGGCCCGGUUUUGCAAAAGCCCAAAAUAAGUGGAUUUUUUAUGCAAAUUGGCCUUAUUUUUUUCACAAUUAAUCUCACAAAAUUUAUAUUUAUUGUAAAAUUAAUUUUAUUUCUACCAUAUAAGCACGUGACCGCAAAUCAAGAUGUAGAUGAAGUUGAACAUAGUGAACCAUUCAACAUGUUUGGACACGAUGAAUAAUUUACCGUAUUUUAUUAUUUUCUUACCACAGUAUUAAGUAAUAUUAAAAUUAGAGUUUAAGAAGGACACUGUGUUCAAGAACGGUGAAUAAUUCAUCGUGUUUAAUUUUGCACACAUAGCGCUCGCGUGGCACUUGCAUGAUGGGGAUAAAAUCAAUCUUGUAAAUAUGAAUUUUGUUGGAUUAUUUAUGAAAAGAAUGUCUGAGGAACUAAAGACAAAAAAAGCUCUUUUAUCAACGUAAAUUGCCAGUCCGAUCAUGAUCUUAUAUUCAAAUCGAUUUUGUUUAAUUCAUAAAAUUGAACCGACUUAAAAUUUGUUUUGAUUUAUUAAGAUUAGCUAUUUAAUCACUGAACCUAAAACCAGUCGAUUUUUUUAUUUUAUAUUUCAAAUAAUUAAAUAAAAAUAUGUAUAAAUUUUUUAUAAUCUACGCUUCGAAUAUAUUUUUAAUUAUAUAUAAUAUAAUAAUAUUUCAAAAUAAUAUAAAAUGUUAUAUUUAGUAUGUAUUUAAUAUUAUAUUGUAGUGUUCUGGAGGUUUGGAUAGGAUUGACUACAGUAUUAAUGAUUAGUCGCCACAUCUGGUGCGUGUCGGACUGAGUCAGAGUCGUUUCUGCACAAAAUGGAUGCAGAAAUCGACUUGGCGCACUCAGAGGAGCAAAACUAGAGUUUUGCCAGUUUCGGGCGCCCAGAACUAGGUUUGGGUCGCCCAGAAGUUGAGUGUUGAAUUGAACAGAUAUUGGAAGCCAAUUCGGAUCCUAGUUUCGGGCGCCCAGAAGUCGGUCCGAAAUUUUACUUUGGGAAUAUCGUUUGUACUGACACGUGGCUGGUGGUAGGUGAGAUCCGUCGGACCAAGAUAUGGCCGCAGUACACCGCGGGCGGAGGAACCGAGGGGGAGCAAUUGUGUAAUCUGGAGGUUUCGGACGCCCAGAAAGGGGUUUUGGGCGCCCGAAAGUGACCGUUUCUGCUGGGAUCUCAAGCUAGUAUCUUUUGUUCCUGGGGUUUAUUUGACCCCUCUAACUCCUUAUAAAUAGAUGGAACUCGACCCCUGUGAGCUCUUUUCUUCCUUUCUUCACAGAGAAGCCCUAUUUUGCAUCUAAGUCCCUCAAAUUACUCCAAAUUCUACAAUUUCCACCUUGAGCAGUGCUGUUUUAGCAUAAUUUCUGCAGCGACCUUUGGCGUUUUGGCUCGUGUGCGACGUAGGAAGGUCGGAUUGCUGUGAAACAUGGUUUGGUGGUUAGCUGACUUCCUAAAGAUUUCGUGGAACCCUGUUUGACAAAAAUUGAUUGAGGUUUGUAUAGUCAAUUUCGUGUUUUACUGAGCUGCUAGUGUUUUGGUCCUGAAAGUGAGUUUUCUUUGAUUGUUUUUGGACCAAUUCUUGGAUAGAGCUGGAUUUUCAACCUGAGGAAGCUGCUGCACCUUUUCCUACUGGUUUUGAGAGUGUUCUCCACCAGAAUUGUGGAUUCGGGGUUUGAUAAGUGAGUUUUGACAUUGGAAUUGAAAGUUAAGCUUAAGUGUAAAAUUUUGGGAGUUGUAAUGCAAAUGUUGGUAUUUUGAUAUUCAGAUCUUUGAGGAGAUUUGCUGCUAGUCCAGGGGUGAUUACGACUGAGACUCCCAGUGACUUCGCGACUUCUAGUUGUGCCGUGGAUUAGUGUUAAUGAUAUACCCUAAAGCCAAUCGGUGACAUAGGCUUGUGAACAUAUUAAGUAUUUUUCUUAAUUAAUAAAGGGCAAGUUUUAUUCAUAUUUAUUGUUAGCAGUACAAUACAUUUAUAUGAAUCGUCCAUUGAAUCUUCGUUAAGAAAAUAUAUUCCUAAGAGUUAGGAAUUUGAGAUAUAUAUUUCUUUGUACAGGAUUCUUAAACGCUCCUAGCCAUAGGAAUGUCAUAAGGACGAUGAUAUUUCCGGAUAGGCCGGUGUAUGCUAUACUUCUAAGUUGAGGUGACGAAUCUCAAGUCAUUAGUGUAGGGACACUAAAGUGAACAUGCAGGUGCUUGUUAGCGAACAAGUACACUGAGCGUGACCAUUUAGUUGAACAGUUACAUGGUUCCAUAUUCACCAGUGACUAGUUCUAUGCUACCAUUGUGUGAAGUACUCCUCAGACCUGAGGCAUCAUGGUUGCUUCACAUAUAUAUUGCUACUGUUUAACUGUACUAAUACUUAGACUCUAAUCAUUGGUCUACCUCUGGUACUGAUUGGUUGUAGUAGUUUAUAUGGGGAGGCGUGUGAGUGUGCAAUAAGGAAUUCAACACUCUCAAUAAUGAGAGAGAACGUUCUAUAUAGACUAUCGAACUCGACUCGAAAAAUCCUUGGCCAGGGUACGUGGUGUGCGAAAAGAGUUUCCAGUUGUGUUACCAUAUUGAGUCAGUUUUAGAUAUUCUAGUCAUAUGAUCGAAUAAUAAGAUUUGGCGAGUAACCAUAAUCUUAGUUCGAUCGGGGCGUUGUGUGUUGGAAGGAAUUAACCACACGGUAACGGUUAGCGGAAAGGUUCGUUUUAUCAUCACUAUUUUGGAUUGCCGUGAUAUACUGCUAGGUGUCACUCACGGACAGUGAGAGAAGUAAACAAAUAAUUUAAAUAAAUUGUUUUACAGAUUAGAAGAGUUCUAAUUCAAUAUUGAAGGGUUUGAUAUUGGACCUCACUGUCGAAUAGUAAUGAAUCUAUGCGGUCACACACAAUAGGAAUUGUGUGCAUCCAACAUGACAAGAUGAGUAUAAUACACUAAACAGUUUAGUGGAAAUAAUGAGAAAUUACAAUUUGAAUUUGAAUGUUACGAAAGAUUUAAUCUCUAAUUAGAUUAGAGAAUAAUUAAAUAUUCAUAAAUUAUUAUGAGAUAAUAUUCUAAUUAGAUUAGAUUUAAAUAUGAAUAUUUAAUUAUAAUUUAAUGGAUAAGAUCUAAUUAAAUUAAAGAGGGAUAAUAAUAAAAUAUCUAUAAUAGGAUAAGCGUAAAUUUACUUUUAUUUAUCCUGUAACUAAUUGGAUAUAAUCCAAUUAGUAUUGUAACUAAUUUGAUAUGAUCCAAAUUAGUUAUAACAGAUUAAUUAGUAUUGUAACUAAUUGGAUAUGAUCCAAAUUAGUUAUAACAGAUUGAGUGUGCCCGGCUUGUACGGCUUUAUUAAUUAGUGGAGGCGUACAUAUAGGAGCCGUGGCUUCAUUAGUAUGUGACACUCAAAUUUACUGAAAAGGAUUCACAUUAUUCUCUCUCAACUUUUCGUAAAAUAUUUCACUAAAAGGAACGUAGAUAUCAGAAGACUGCUAGCACCGUCUUUGUAAUCUGCGACUCAUCUGUUCCGUACGGGCACGUGCGCGGCUAAUUGGAAUCUCAGUUUCAACCGUACAGUAGAUCAAGAGACCUUAACUAGUCCGAGGUAAUGUAACCUAAACUUCAAAUUUGCUUAGGUUAGAUUAUUAUUUUACAUUGUAACAUGAGAAUGAUCCGCCGGCACUGGAUUGAUUUGUUUUGUCUUGAUUCAUAUGUGAUAUAGAUUUUUGUUUUUCGAAAAUACAAUUUUAAUUUCCACUGCAAUUUUUGUGCCGGAUAAAUUCUUACAAUUAGCGCUAGAGGUGGGAUAAUAUUGUGCUUACCGUAUUUCACGGAAUUCCUCCUAAGUCUAGUUAUUGUCGACGUAUAUUUCCUGUUUUGAAUAACAUGUUUAAUAGCUUGAUUCAUUGUCGACGUGUAUUUCCUGUUUUGAAUAACAUGUUUAGUAGUUCGAUUCAUUGAUUUGUUGUCUUCUAAAAUCUGAAUUGGAGCUUAGAAUAUUAAUUAAAUAAUAUAUGUUGGACUUGGAUUUGACUUAGGAGAAAACUGACGCUUUUACACUGUCAUAUGUUAAAACUACCAGAUUUAGAUCUAGGAGCCGCAGUUGUUUGUAUCACCGCAGUUUGUGGGCGGUGGAUACACAUGAUAGUGUAGAAUGUACUUACGCUCGUACUGGGAUGCCGAGUUUAUUUUUUACAGUAGUGUUUAGGCUGUUCCGGACUGUCGGGUGCCGUUAGGGUUGACGGUGGACCCAGAUUGCUGUUUUUGCAUCAGAUUGUGCCGAGGGCACGUGAGUUUUGCUGUUAGACCAGUUAGACUCUAUUUACUUGACUAUAGCCUAUGAGAGCCUGAUUGAGCUCGACAGAGACACGCUUGCAUAUUCGGUUGGGUAGCGCCCACGAGUGCCACUCCGGGGUCGGGCUUUGUGCGUUUGCAUUGGUGUCAUUGUGUCCUGGUUGGACUUACUUUCCACGGACGGUUGAGCGUGGAGGUAGCUGUAUAGCUUCGACAGGCGGGACGGGUGUAUUCACAAUCCCUAGUGAGAUUGGAUCAUAACUUACAUUAUUCUACAGAUAGUUAGCAUUGGAUAAUGAUAGUAUAGUGGCAUAUAGCCGUAGAUUAUUUUCAGUUCCUUUACUAUCAUUGAGCAUACCUUCUGUAGACUUAGUGGGUGAGCCGUUGAGGUCGGUAGCGGUACCCACUGAGGACUAUUUCUUUUUGCAGUAGUUCUCACGCCGAAUUGUGGAUCUUUUGCAGAGCCUCUGGUUGCGGCUGCUGCAACUGCUGAUUCUGAUCGCAGAAAGGGUGUUGCGAGUUAGAGCCCUUCCUGACGAGUUGCAAAGUUAGAGGAUGACUAGCUACAGGUAGUUGUAGUUUUUGGUUCUUUACAUACUGAUGCUGAUGUUAUUCCUCGCUGGAGUCAGUAUUUUUGUACCAGAAUUUUAUGUUGUAUUGAACCGAUAUUUUUAUAUAUGUAUUCCUUUUAGCAGCUCUAUACUACUAGUUGUAGUAUUGUAUGUUUACAGGUACAGCUAUCGUUUCGUAUACAGGAGAAAUUUCUAUGUAUACGGCGGGUCUGUUAGCGUGUCCAGAAAAACGAGAAAUACGAGACGUGACAUAUAUAUUGUAUGAAAAAAUAAUAAUUAAGUAUUUAUGAUGUCAUUCAAUUUAUUGGUUGAAGUACUGACCAAACCAGUGACCUGUUAUACCUAUAAUCUGGCAAUAAUUUUGGAUCUUAAUAAAUGAUUCCAAAUCUCAAAUCAUUGGCCCUAAGAAUUAUUAGGCCCUAUCCCUACUUUGUUGUAGUUUGUGAGCAUUAAACCUAAUCUAAACUCAGUAAUUUUUUGUAUCUUCUAUCUCCAAUGAAACAAACACGCCACUAAUGCUUAAAUGCAUGUUUGUGUUUAUUAUAAGAGUGAUUUAGAUUCUAGCUUUUUAUAUGAAAAUACAUGUGAUUAGAUUCAGAGAAUUUUUUGAUGGAUAAAAAGAGAAAAAUUAAAUUAAAAAAGAGAGUUUUGAUGCAUUUUGUCCAGGUACAUUGUACACAAUCAAGCUUCUGUCCUUUUCCUCAUCCACAUCAGAAUAUGAUACCUGGACCUGCUCUAAAGACCAGUUCUUUAGUAGAAAAAGUCCAUUAUAUAACACUUAUAUCAUAUCAUCAAUAACUAGUUAAUUACAUUUUUUUUUAAUAAAAAAUAUAUACAAAUACUUUUUUAAUAAUCAUGAUGAAAAUGGAUGAAUAAAAAGAAUAAUUCGAUUGGUUAGGGACUCUUAUCUGCAAUAUAACUAGUGCAUUCGAGAUCUUUCUUUUUUAGUAAUGGUCUAUCUCUAUCUCUCUUAUUAUUAUUAUUAUUUUCUUUUGGAAUAGUCUGAGGUGUAUAAUAUUUUAGUUUUCAAACUUUAAACUUUAAUUAGUUAUAACUUAUAGGGAAAACUUCAAAAACCCCCCAUGUGGUUUCAAUUUUUUUCACUUUAGUACCUUGUGGUUUAAAAUAUAUCAAGUUAGUACCCUGUGGUUUCUCACUUUAUCACUUUAGUACCCUAUGGUUUAAAGUGUAUCAAGUUAGUAACCUGUGGUUUUGCACUUUAUCACUUUAGUACCCUGUGGUUUUAAUUUGGUAUCAAGUUAGUACCCUGUGGUUUUUUUAAAUCACAGAGUACUAAAGUGAUAAAGGGUGAAACCACAUGGUACUAAAGUGAUAAAGUGCAAAGUUAUAGGGUACUAAUUUGAUACACUUUAAAUCACAGGGUACUAAAGUGAUAAAGUGAGAAACCACAGGGUACUAACUUGGUACACUUUAAAUCACAGGAUACUAAAAUAAAAAAGUGUGAAACCACAAGAGAGGUUUCUGAAGUUUUCCCUAACUUGUAACUCAAUUUUUUGAAAGUAUUGCACUCAAGUCUUCUAAUAUAAUUUAGUUGGAUAAAUAAUAAUGCGGCGGCCAUGUGGUAGUGCCAUAGUUCAUAACUUAAUAAUGAUUAGCACACCACAUAUGUAAUAUAUUAUUAUCAUCAUCAAACCAACUAAAUUAGUUUGUGGCCCUCAACUGUAACAAUCUAAAAUGUUGAAAUAAAAAAGUACAAUAAAUUAAAGUUUGAAGAUUAAAGCAUUACUUAUAUUCUGAGAACCAAAAGUGUAAUUUUGAAGUUCUUUUUUUAGCAAUUAAUGCUACGAGAGUUAAGUUGUACUCUUGCUAGAUGAUAUCUCACUUUCUUAAUAUUUAGAGUAGCUAAUGGGGAUUAUACUUCUAUAGUGAGUUACAUUAUACGAGGGUAAAAAAAAUAGUAUGUGUUUGUUGUACAAAUAAAGUCCGACUACUAUACUAUCUAUAUUAUCAAGCUCUUAAUACUAUUGAUAGUAUCAAGCUGUUGGAUCUACCCCUUGAUCAUUUCCAUCCGUUAGAUUAUAUUAUUCAACCAACCACUCAUUCAACCCUAAAGGACCAUUAUCAUCCUAACUAUAUAUUUUUUCAUCCAACGACUGAAAACUCGAUAGCACCAAUCGCUUAGUACUAUCGAUAGUAUAAUAGCGUAAUAAUUGUCUAUAUAUCCCUCAAAACUUCGAAAAUAUCUCAUUUAUUCUUACUUUUUUUCCUUUUCAAUAUACCCCUCAUAUGUUUCUCCGUUAUUCUAAAAUACCCCCAUAGGCCUACAGUUAUCAACCGUUAAGUUAACUUGGGUUAAACACGAGUUAAAUAUCGACCACAAUUAAAAAAAAUUAAAAUAUCAAUUUUACCCUUAACUUAAGGGCAAAUAAGAAAAAUUGGUGACGUUAGAGAGGUAUGUUUGAAGAGACCAAAAGUCAAAACACUUUUUGUGCCCCUAACUUAAAGGGCAAAUAAGAAAAGUCGAUAAUGGUGGAAGGGUAUAUUUGAAAUGGCAAAAUAGUAAUUUUAUACAGAUAACAGAGUUUAUUAACAGAUUUUAACUUUAGGGGUAUAUUUGAAAUAUGUUGGAACGUAAAAAUAGUAUUUUCAAUAUUAGUCAUCUAAAAAAGAUAAAUCAGAAAGUCAGAAGCUUUUUACGGGUAUAUAAGCAAUUGCCCCUAAAAAAUAUAUAUCUUCAAGUACUAAACUAAUUUAUAAUUGCCAUUCGAAUUCUGGCCACAACAUUAUUCAUGUUCUUAUAAGGAAUUGUAAACAUGAUGCAAAUUUAGUGAUCUCUUAAGCAAAUGUUUUAUUUGACUCGCAACCUCUCCUGUAGCAAUUUCAAAAUAAUUUUAGACAUUUAAUGCUGGAUAGAUGCUGCUGAUUGGGAUGUUGGUUAUUGCUGAAUUAGCUUGGUCUUCAAAGGUUCAUAUGCUUUCACUCUUAGUAAUGUAGAUCAAUUCAUAUUCAUCAACUCACUUGUUGAGAGAGAAAUUGUUGCAAUUCUUACCGUUUGGUUCGGGUAUAAGCAAGAACUAGCUAUUACAGAGACAUGUACAAGUAUGGGGAUAAGAAAAAUAGCGUUUGGAUGAAAAUUAGGUUGUUCCCGGAAUAAGAACAAUUUUAGAUAGUUUUAUAUAGAAAAUGAAGGUGUUGGUGGGGAUAACCGAGAACUACUAUUCUCAGGUAAAAAAUUAGCGUUUGGGUAUAAAAGGGGGGAUAAGGGCCUAUUCCUAUCCCUGUCCCCUAACCAAACGGUGCUAGUAGACUAGUGUUUCAAAUUCUCCCCUCUUGCAAUUUAUCAUAUGGCUUUAUACGGUAGUACUUUUUUUGCUAUAAAUGUUAUUCCGUAUAUAUAUAUUUUUUUUCAGUGAUCCAUAACUAAUUUUAUUAAGAAUUACAUAUAUCUUCUUCCAAAUACCACUCUUAUAUGGAUGUGUUAUGUAAAUCGAAAAUUAAAUGUUGAGGUCCAUAAUUUAGCCAAAGAAAUAUUUAGAAAUUAUUAUAAUUCUGAAACUGUUUGAACAACAAAUAUAGCCUACGGACCUUUUUUCUUAAAAAACAAUAAAAAAGAUAAAAUAAUUGGUCCAUGACAAAGAUGGUGUGCCACAUGCUGUCCACUAAACAACUUAACCUCAACCAAUAAAAAUUAUUCCGUCCACCACGUGUAUCCGUAUGCAUCAUGAAUCGUGCCUAAAUUUAAUUAUUUAAAUAUUUUAAAUUACAAAUUAGUCACAUAGAUAUGGUUUAAGCUACUUAGGGUUUAGGGUAUCAAAUAAUCUCACUAAUUAAUUAUAGAAAAGAAUAAUUUAAUAUGUUUAGGCAUUUUUAAUGUCAUUAACAGUUAAAAGGAGUACAAUUUGAAUUUUAUUAGUUCAUAUAUGUAGUAGAGGUUAUAGGUGCGGUGCAUGAAAUUUACUUCGUACACCUGGUGCAGAUAAGAAUUCCAGUCCUCCGAGCAUCGAUGCUCCUUGUCUCUUCCCUCGGUGGGCUUCUAACCCCAAAACCCUACUUCCACUACUCCUCGCACCGAGCUCCUCGGCCCUGAUCAUGGCGUCGUCGUCCACGAGCGCGGCGGAGGUGGCGUCGGAGGCGUACAUGGGGGGCGCGGCGGUGGCGGAGGCGCGCGCGCUCGUGGCGGAGCUCUGCCGCCUCUUCUACACGCAGGGAUGGGUCACGGGCACGGGGGGCAGCAUCACGCUCAAGGUCCACGACCCCGCCGUGCCCAAGCCCCACCAACUCAUCGUCAUGUCCCCCUCCGGUAAAUCCUAUCGCCUCCUCCUCGAUCCUCUUCCUCUUUGGUGUUAUCUCCAUGGAUCGAUCGAUCGGUCAAUGGUUCGAUCGAUGGGUCGAUCGACUGGGGGGUUUGAUGUGAUCCUUCGGUGUGAUUGGUGAUUUAGGGGUUCAGAAGGAGCGGAUGGUGCCCGAGGACAUGUACUUGCUCUCUGGCGAUGGCGAGGUGCUCUCCCGGCCCGUGCCGAAGCCGUGGCCCCAUAAGCCCCCCAAGUGCACCGAUUGUGCCCCGCUCUUCAUGAAGGUGAUCGAUCGAUCCAUCGAAGCCAUUUGCAUUAUUAGUUACAUUGAUACUAAAUCCCUCUUAUUUUCAAUUACAUAUUUUUCUUAAUGAAGGCCUUGUUUAGUUAAGAUUUCAUUUUUCUGUUGUUGCUCUAAGUAAAAAAUUAGGUCUUUGAAUGCUCGGUGGAUGGCGGAUUGCUUUCAUUUGUACAUCUAUUGGUUUUUUCCGGCGAAAAGGAAAAAUUUAAUAGUAACUUUUUUCGAUUUGUGUGUUUUUCUCAGCAGUAACCAACAAUGCAAGAAUGGAGCAAUCCAUUUCUGGCUCAUAUUUCAAAUCGCUGUUAAGACAAUGGAUCAGCUAUUUGCCUCUUUUAUAUAGCUCUUAUCUUAUAUUUAUAUCCUUUGCAGGCUUAUCAGAUGCGAAAUGCUGGAGCUGUUAUUCAUAGCCACGGCAUGGAAUCUUGUCUUGUUACAAUGCUUCAUCCAGGCGCAAAGGAGUUCCGGGUAAAUCUUUCAAGUUAUAUGUAGGAAUACUUUUGGAACUGUCAUUCAUCUUUUACUUGUUACUGUAUUUCCAUUUCUUGUUAGCUGGAGAUGUUUCAGAAUGACAUCCACUUUGAUCUCUUCUAUUCCAUAAUAACUCUUUUGUUGGUUUAGAUAACUCAUAUGGAGAUGAUUAAAGGAAUACAAGGACAUGGUUAUCAUGACGAGCUGGUAGUUCCGAUAAUCGAGAAUACCCCUUAUGAGUAUGAGCUCACAGAUUCCCUUAGUGAAGCGGUACUAUUUUGUCUUGCGAAUGUGUUUUCUUCUUACUUUUUCAGGACUAUAGAUAAUGUAGAUCAUAUAUGGUUUCCUCUUCAAACUUAAAAUCUAGAUAUGUAUGGACUUCAUUUGACAAAUGAAAUAUUUUAAGUAGCAAAUUGUUUGCUCUUUGGACAUUUGAAGUAUAUUAAAAUAUUUUAGAAAGUUUAUCUGAAGUAUAGUAAAUAUUUUACAAAGUUUUGCCUAAGCAGACAAAUUGUCAAAGCUGUUUAGUUCAUGUAUAUGGAUCUUAAUAUGGAUCUUAAUUAUGUAAACUUCAUGUAUAGGGAUCUUAGUAAACUAGCAAGAAAUUCAAUUGUAUAUGAUAAAAUGGUAGAGAAGGAUUACCAUAUACUUGUAUAGUGAGGCUAUAAUACAUUCUGCUCCGGUGAACAUAUUUUGAUGAUUCAUCACUUUCAACAAUGAUAUAGAUGGUUUUUGUAUGCUAAUCAUGACAGUUGUGAAAAUCAUUUGGAUAGGUUCUUUAUAACUGAACUGAGAUUGUACUUAAACAGAUUGCAGCAUAUCCAAAAGCAACUGCUGUACUUGUGCGAAACCAUGGUAUUUAUGUAUGGGGUGACACAUGGAUCAGUUGCAAGACUCAGGUAUGUUUUUCUUUUUUUUUUCUAAAGAUUUAAAUGUAUGAUUUAAGGUAAUAUCAGUAUGAAUUAUAUUUUAUGCUGACAGUUGUAGUUCCACACACACAGUAAAUGGUGUGUUUCCUUCCAUAAUGAACAUCUGUUUAAUCUUUCUCCUCUAUCAACUACAAACUUUGCUUAUGGGAUACUUUCUUAGUGAGGUUGUAUAUUGAAUAUUUGAUCCAGCGUAAUCCUAUUGAUUCCUCUUGAAUAUCAAAGUUUUUUAGGUUAACUUUUCUAGGUUAUGAAAAUUAUCUGAAGCAUUUGGUGGAGCUGAACAUAGCUUUUGGCUGGAUUUUGUCUUACAAUUCAUAUUUUUUAUGAAGAUGAGGAAAGCUCAGUAGUAAGUAAUGUAAUAAUAGUGUAACAUCAUUUUCUCAAUUUGCAACAAUCGUGGAUUCAGUCUUUCACUUCUGUUUAUAAUUUCUUAACCAUGUUGAAGAAACAAAUUUGCAAUAAAUCCACCAUUUGUUCCUAUUCAACGUACUAAAGAAAUAUACUAUAUGUAACAUCCUUUUGUCACCUGUUCCCAACUUGGUCUUUGCUAUCAUUCCUAUUAUUCUUCUGCUCUUGAUACGCUUUUCCUUAUCGCCGCUUGUCUUUGAAUAUUGUCUUAUUUAUUUUCUCUGAUGUGAUUUUCAGGCUGAGUGCUAUCAUUAUCUUUUUGAUGCUGCCAUCAAGCUCUACCAAUUGGGCAUUGACUGGACGACUCCUAGUCAUGGUCCAAUCAAUGUUGAUAGACCAUUGCAGCACAAAGACCAUUUGAGUACUUCAGUGAGAGCAGCAGUCCAAAAUGGCAAUCUUGCUGCUGAAUCUUCAAAGGUCAGUUCUCGGAGUUCUAAUGCUAGAUUUUACUGGGAAUGAUAUGACUAUUUUGGGGGAUGAGGGGGGUUUCUAUCUAUUCUUUGUGCAUUUAUCUUUUGAGCAAUUUGUGUUUUUUUGUCUUUUCUCUGUAGAAAUAUUUACAUAUAUACCACUGCAAGAUUACUAUAAAUAUAUAUUUCUGCAAAAUAUAAAUUCCAUAUAUGCCAUUAAAAACUCCUCUUUUACAUAUAUACCCUUGUGCUUACAAAAUACCCCUCUUUAAAAUCCUUAUUCAUAUGCAGUCCGCUUUCUCCCCAUGAAUUGGAAUGCCCCACAAAUUAAGAUGACUGGUGUUUCUUUAAGAAACUGAACUUUCGACGGUUAUAAAAAUAAAUGAUAGCUCAGAAUUUAUUGGGGUGCAUGUAAAUCAAUGAUUUUGCAGGAUAUAUGCAUCAGAGCUCCUUUAAUAUUUGUGUUAUUAGAUCUGUUUCUUCUUCAACUUCUCUUAUAGGUUCCAUUAAUUUAUUUCUUACUAUUAGCACUUAGCUAAUCUUCACUUCUAAUAAAAAAAAGCUAAUCAAUUUUAAUGAUCUGCAGAAAUGCAUUGUCCUUGACAUUGAAGGAACAACUACUCCAAUAUCAUUUGCCACCGACAUUCUUUUCCCCUAUGCUCGAGAUAAUGUUCGGGAACAUUUGAUUUCAACAUACGACAGCGAGGAAACUCAAGAUGAUAUUAAGCUAUUGCGCUUCCAAGUAAGAUAUUGAUGCUUUCUACUAUCCAAAUUAUUUGCCUUUUGGGUACUGCCAUGGCAAAUAAAAGUGCUUGUUAUCAAAAGUUCUAAAUGAUGUCAUUGUCCGCAGUGUUUGUUUGCACAAAUUAGAUGAAGAGAGAUUGAUACGAACUUAUAUUCCAUGAUUUGCGUAUAUUGCUAAAGCACAACUAGGCUUCAAUCCUAAAAUCUUAGGCUUAUUUAUAUAGUGUUUGAAUCAGCGCCAACAUGUGCCUCUAAUAAGAUAUAUUUGAGUGGUGGGUGCAUAUAUUCAUAGUUUUUUUUUCGGUUAACAUAUAGUUGCGAUUUUUUGACAGGUUGAGGAUGACCUAAAACAAGGGGUUGUUGGGGCUGUACCCCUUCCACCUAAUGGUGCUGGAAAAGAGGAAGUCAUUGAUUCCUUAGUUGCUAAUAUUCAAGCUAUGAUUAAAGCAGACAGAAAAGUUACAUCUCUUAAACAAUUGCAGGUAGCAUAAUCGGUUCUAGACCUCUCAUUCUGAGGAGAAAUUAUUGUGAGGACCUGGUCCACCGUGAACCAUCACAACACAACACAAGUCUUAAAGUGAAGCUUUAAACCAUUCGACUUGAUCUACAACACCUUAAGGGUCAUUGAAAAUCAUAACAUUUAGAAAUUUAUUUCUUUUGUAAUGAGCAGUAACUGGUUAACGCUGUUAAUUUUUCCACCUACCUGAAGCUUUCUUGCCUAGGUAAGAGCUUUCCAAAAACUAAUGAUCUUUGAUAUUAGAGUCCUUAGAGGUUGUAGAUCACAUAAUGGUAUAUAUUUAGAUGUUAGGCCUCUAUUCUUAAAAAUUAAGGACUGGUUCUUGGCUGACAUGGUCGAGCAGGCCUAGCCUGUAAUUUCUCCAUUAUGAGUCAAAGAAUCUGUGUGUAUCUGGUUGAGUUUUGACUAACCUUCUUUUUGUUUCUUUCUUUUCUUUUUUUUGACACACAGGGCCAUAUUUGGAGAACUGGAUUUGAAAACAAAGAACUGCAAGGAAUUGUUUAUGAGGAUGUUCCUGAGGCUCUUAAGAGAUGGCAUGCCAAUGGCGUAAAGGUUAUAUAUUCAUUCGAUCUACGUAAUUUAAUUCUUUAGCUGAAGAUUCACAGAUUAAAAUAGUUAAGCAGACAUUUAAUUGAUUCUGUCAUUCUGCUUUUCCAUCAAUUAGCCAUAUGCUUCUUGAAUGAGAAUUCACAAGCCAUCCAUUACGGUAAUCCUGGUUCUAAACUUUUUCUUUUCUAAGUCACCUGCAAACACGAUGAAAAAGAACUCUAAAAACUGACCUGUUUGAAUUACAAUUGUGUGCCCUAUUCUUUUCUCACCUUGCUAGCUUUUGUAGUAGGAACUUGUCUACUAUUCUAUUUGUCUUUUUAGAUUUUACAUUCAUCUCGUAGUUUUUCAUGGCAGAAGUCUCUGAUAAAUCUAAAUUCAGGUCUAUUUAUAUUCGAGCGGUAGUAGAGAGGCUCAGAGACUUCUGUUUGGAAACACAGCUUAUGGCGACUUGAGGAAGUACCUUUGUGGAUAUUUCGACACCACAACUGGGUAGGUUAUCUGUUUCCUUUUCUUGCUUUUGCAAUGUCUUAUGCUAUUUCUUUUCACUAAAAGAUAUAUUUCACUUUUUUUUCCUUUCCAAUAUAGGAACAAAAGAGAAGCACGGAGUUAUUUCGAAAUCUCACAGUCACUAGGGGUGGACAAGCCAUCUCAAAUAUUAUUUGUAACAGAUGUCUAUCAGGAAGCUGUGGCUGCAAAGGCUGCAGGUAAAUGCAUUAAGUUUUUAUUAUAUUGAUUAACUUUGUUUACCUCUAAAUAUUUGCUGCUACUUGCUAGAGAAAAAUGAUAUUUUGCUGUUUUUUGUACUUGAUGUUUUUUAUUUAUUUAUAUACUUUCUUGAAUGAGAUUUUUCCACUUAGAUUGCACAUUCUUUAUAGUGAUUUUUUAAUUUGGGCACUCUGGAAUCCCUAGCGUCCUCAUAUCCCCACUAUUUUGCAAAAUCUAAAUUUAACAAUAUUUGGAAUCACAACUUAGAACGCCCAUCCGAAUGGUCAAUUUCCCUAUCAACCCCGCUAUUUUCCGGGAAAUGUUGUAUACAAUUACGUGAACAUGACUGCUCAAAAUUCUCUGUUCAGUUGUCUUGAUAUGUAAAUCAUAUUUAACAUAUUCACCCUUUCAUGCAUGCAUCCAAUUGAUGGACCAUCAGAUUAUAUUAACACUUAAAAGUCAAACAAGUCCUAUCAAUUUCAGGUUUGUGGUGUUUACAUAUACAUAAUAAGUAUUUGCACCUACUUUGAGAUGAGAAGUUAAACAUGGUGCUUCCUGUUAGAUAGGAUAAUGGCCCAUCAUGUCAAAUAUCUGUUGUUAGAACUUGAUAUGUCUUGGUUGGAUCAAAUGAAUUUACCUAUCGGUACAUUCUGUUGUUUUAGCUUCGGAUAUUGCAUUUCCAUUGAGAAAUAAAAAGUUUCGAAUUCCAUGAAUAAAAUGUUAGAAAUUUUUAAGGAAUGAAGAUGCUUUUAUUUUUCAUUUCUCUUACAGCUGUUAUUUCUUCUUCUUCUUUUUCUUUUCUUCACUCAUUUCUUUUAGCUUUCCUGCAAUAAUGAAUUUAUAUCUUUUUUUUUUCAAGAUAUAUAAUUUUACUAUUAUUGUUUGGUUCUGUUAUCCAUUCAUCAUCUUACAAGUUAUCGUCCUUGUUGAAAUUUUCAGGUAUUGAUGUCAUAAUCUCGAUCCGCCCUGGAAAUGCACCUCUUCCCAAAGAUCAUGGUUUCGCGACCAUAACAUCUUUUGCGGAAAUCUGAGUUAGUGCAACCUGUACAAUUGCUCGGGCCCCAGGUCAAAUAAGUGCAAAUAAAAUUUGUUUAUCAUCACAAUAUGCAGUCAUGAGUCACGAAUCUACGAAAUAGUAAAUAUAUAUCUUAUGUACUAGUAAAAUGCAUCAAAACACUUUGGCUAUAUGGUAUUGUGUGCAUAUAUAUGUGGUGUUACACAUCUUGAAUAGUUAAACUCAGCUUUUGAGUACCCUGCAAUGGUUAUUUAAUGAGCGAAUUGCGCAUAUAAUUCUAGCCUUUUUGUCUUUUCCCCGCUUUUUCGUUUUCGAGUAAUGCUUGGUCUUUAAAGCCUAGGAUUUGUCUCCCCAGAUUGGCAUAAAACUCUGCUUUUUGUUCUCAUGUACUUAGAGAUAUUUCACAUUGCAAAAGAUUUGGCCUUUCAAAGGUUUAAGCUCACAUUGACCUUUUUCUCUCUUGUCAACAUAUGGGCGAAAAAUGUAUGGGUAGCUUUAAGUACAAUUUCUGUAACAUUCUCGGAAUUUAUAUAUAUAUAUAUAUAUAUAGAGAGAGAGAGAGAGAGAGAGAGAGAGAGUUGAGCUAGAAAUUUAUCGGUAGCAAACGGGUUCCGUUGUCACCAAUUUAUUUUUGAUGAUAGAACCUCCAAAUCAACGAUCGACACCGUUGAAUAUGAUCUAUACCACUUGAAGUAUCUAGAAAUAAAAUUUUAUUUUUUUCGAUAUUGUUCUCUUGUCUAUUAAAUGAGCGUAAAAAUGAAUGGCUUAAAAUGAAUAUCCUCUAAAAAGUGAUAAUAGAAAUUUUGUAAUCAAGAUCGAGAGUAUAGAUCUUAUUCUAAAUAGUUUAAAGAAUUUUCUAACUAAAAUUCAAUUGAUUUGGAUAGCUUUACACAGUUAAACGAGAAAACGCCUCAUAUCUACCAUUAAAAUUACAAACUUUGAAACCCUUUGAUCAUUAGGUCAAUGAUAUCGAAAUGAUUUGAAAUUUGGUUUCUAAAUACUUCAAGUGGUAUAGAUCAUGUUCAACUGUGCCGAUCGUCGAUUUAAAGGCUCCAUCAUCGAAAACAAAUGGGUGGCAACGGAGCCGGUUUGCUACAGAUAGCAUUCCAGCUCAACUCUCUCUUUCUCUUUCUCUCUCUCUCUCUCUCUCUCUCUCUCUCUCUCUCUAUAUAUAUAUAUAUAUAUAUAUAUAUAUAUAUAUAUAUAUAUAUAUAAUUAGGUUGGAAUACUAUUAAUAGUAAAACGUUCUUUUUGCUAUCAAGUUUUAACCUUUGGAUAAAAAAUUGUAGGGUUAGGAUGAUAUUAGUCGGUUAGAGUUGAGCGGUCCCUCUAGGGUUGAGUGGUCCCCACUGGGUUAUAGUAUUUAAUCCAAUGGUUAGAAAUAAUAAAAAAAGUUGAUCCAAAGGCUAAAAAACCGGUAACAACAAUAAAAUUUUGCUACUAAUAGUAGGCCAGUCCAACUCUCUCUCUCUCUCUCUCUCUCUAUAUAUAUAUAUAUAUAUUAUACGUGUAAUUGACUCUAAAAUUAUAGGGUCAGGAUGAUAUUAGUCGGUUAGAGAUGAGUGGUCCCCCUAGGGUUGAGUGGUCCCUACUGGGUUAUAGUAUUUAAUCCAAUGNCUCUCUCUCUCUCUCUAUAUAUAUAUCUAUAUAUAUAUAUAUAUAUAUAUAUAUAUAUAUAUAUAUAUAUAGAAUUAGGCCACUAUACUAUCUAUAGUACCGGAGCUCCGGUACUAUAGUCUUGUUUUCGAUUUUAGGGUGUUCAAAUUAACGAUUCAUAUCGUUAAAUAUGAUCUAGAGUAUAUGAAAUUCUUAGAAAUAAAAUUUUAGUUUUUUUCGACAUCGUUUACUUAAUAAAUAAAUUAUGUCAAAAUGGACGGUGGAAAUUGAAUAAUCUUUAAAAUUUGACCAUAGGACUUUUAAAUUCAAGAUUAAGAAUGUUAACUUUAAUCUAAAUAGUUUAAAAUAUUUUCUAUCAAAAUUUGAAGAACUCUAGAUUUUUCUACACCGUUAAACUCCAAACUCGUCAUAGUAGCCAUUGAAAAUUGACAAUUUUGAAAUGGUUUGAUCAUAAAGUAAACUAUGUCGAAAAACUAUAAAUUUUAUUUCUAAAACUUUAAAUACCCUAGAUCAGUUUUAACGGUAUGGAUCGUUGAUUUGAACACCCUAAGAUCGAAAACGGGACUAUAGUACAGGAGCUCUGGUACCAGAACCCCGGUACUAUAGAUAGUAUAGGAGACUAGCUCUCUCUCUCUCUCUCUCUAUAUAUAUAUAUAAAAUAUUAUUUAAGAUUCCCGAAUCAAAGUUUUGGAAAAACCUGAGGUUUUGGUGAAGUGGUGAAACUGUUAUAGAUUUGAACUAGUAGGCUCUAAACUAUUGAUGAGGAGAACCAAAAUAUGACAGUCACAUGGGUGAUUCCGAGGAUUUAAGUGUCGUGGUACGGGGUCGUGCCGAAAACUUGCCGGCACGGUACAGUACGGUGCGUGCCGAGCCAUGCCGAUGCGUGCCGAUCAAAAAAAUUCUUAUGUGUCGACACAUAAUAGUAUGAAAUAUUUAUUUUUUUUAGCAACAAAAUAUUCUAACUAUUUAUUAUAUCCUUUUAUCACAUCUUUUGAACUUUAUUGAGGAAAUCACUUACUAAUUUAAAUAAUAGAGGGUUUUGAGCUGUGCCAUCGGCACGGGGUCUGUAUUGUGCCGGUAUCUUGUUGGCAUGGUACGGUACGGUGGAUACGACCCGUGCCGACGGGCACUUAAAACCUUGGGUGAUGCGCUGUUUUCGACUAUUCACAUUUGCUUUUAAGGUUCACUUAUUCUAUCAUAAUUUUCUAAAAAAUUAUAUAUAUUUUAAAAAGAGAUGUGAUUGGUUGGGACGUAGAAAAUGUGGUGUAGAUAAUAUGGUGUAGCUACUUACUCACGGAUGAGAGGCUUUUUUUUUUCGUAGUUCAUGGUAGGGAGUAUUUUGGCACCUUUCUGUUCAGAAUUUAGCGAUUUUUUAGUGAGGCCAAGUUUCUGGCCCAACUUUGCCCACCAAACCAACAAUCUUUCAUAGAAGAUAAACAGUUAUGCAACUGUUGCAAUUAAUACUUUCAUAAUUGCCAGCGAAAAUUCAAGGGAUAUGAGCAAUUUUUGGAAUUAUCUUAUAUUCAUGAGGGCUCAUUAUUAUGUGAUAGUGGGUGAGUUCCUUAGUGGGCGAGUUAUUGUAGGCUAGGUUCAAUAUAUUUUGUGCCUAUAAAUAGAGCGCUAGCUAAGGCCAAGGGAAGACAAGACAACAAGAGAGUAUCAUGUGUAUUGUAAUCUUUUUUUUUCUAAGUAAUUGAAAUCACUUAGUUAUUUUUAGAAAACCUCUAUCUUUUCUUUUUUUUUGCAUACUUAGUCGUAGGACGUAAAGUUUCAGACUAGCAAUAGAGAGCUAGACUUGUCCAUCUUCGAGGAGAAAUGCGGGCGCCGCACGGGCUUUACGAAAAAAAAAAAAAAAACUAUGGCCGUGACACUCGGCUCCCAAUCCAAAUGAUUUGGUGCUAAUUAGGCACUUCAAAUAUAAAAUAUGAGAAAUACGAGCAAUGCUACUAGUAGACCUUUAUCCACAAAUCGUCAUUCCUUUUUGGUCAUGCAUCUCAAUUUUUUUAUUAUAAAUUAUUAGAUGUUUUGUAAAAUUUUAAUAAGAGAGGUAAAAUUUAUAUUCUCUUUUGAGGUGUAAAAGUAGAAUUUUCUAUAAAAUAUACUGUAUUUGUGAAAUCCUAAAACACGCUAUUCCUGUUUUGAUUUUACAAAGUUUUAUCAAAAUUUGUUAAACAAAAUGAUUUUGCUAAGGAAAUUAUUCCGUUGAAUUUUAUGCAAUAUUUCAUCAAAAAAUUAUAAAGUUAAUUUAUCAAAAGUAAUAAAUUACUACUUAAUAAAAUCAAGAAUUUAAAAUUUAGACAUCUUUCUUAAUAUAAUCAUAUUAUAGUUCAAAUAAUAUUGCUAUAUUUUAACCUACAACUAUUUUGCGUGACCGUAUAUACCUGUUAAUAA